RNAcentral lists this ribosomal RNA (216 nucleotides) under uncultured bacterium. Its description in RNAcentral is "partial 16S ribosomal RNA". It matches the Rfam family "Bacterial small subunit ribosomal RNA", at positions 524 to 737 of the family's 1533-position model. The record is from RNAcentral.
UACGUAGGGCGCAAGCGUUGUCCGGAAUUAUUGGGCGUAAAGAGCUCGUAGGCGGUUUGUCGCGUCUGCUGUGAAACCUAAGGCUCAACCUUGGGCUUGCAGUGGGUACGGGCAGACUAGAGUGCGGUAGGGGUGACUGGAAUUCCUGGUGAUAGCGGUGGAAUGCGCAGAUAUCAGGAGGAACACCCGAUGGCGAAGGCAGGUCACUGGGGCCGC